This is a non-coding RNA of Mycena metata, 92 nucleotides long. The record is from the annotation of a GenBank genome assembly. NCBI's taxonomy places the organism in Eukaryota, Fungi, Basidiomycota, Agaricomycetes, Agaricales, Mycenaceae.
GGCCAGAUAGCACAGCAGUUAGUGCACGGAUGCUUGAUCAAGGUUCAAGCAAUAUUCAGACCGCUGCCCUUGUUCGACUCGGGGUCUGGCCU